RNAcentral lists this unclassified non-coding RNA (217 nucleotides) under Hevea brasiliensis (rubber tree). Lineage: Eukaryota; Viridiplantae; Streptophyta; Magnoliopsida; Malpighiales; Euphorbiaceae. The record is from RNAcentral.
AUCAAACAAAAAAAAUUUUCAGAAAGUUUGAUCACGUGUUAGUGUUUUUUUUGUAGUGCAUUUUCCUCUCAUUUUCUUUGUUAUUUCUGAGAUCAGGUAAUAAAAUAAUCUCAACAGUUGGCAUUGCACUUCACUUUUGCGGUUUUGUCAAUUUUUAUAUGAUGGUUUGAGUAUAUUUUGCGGAUGCUUGGAGACAAAACAAUAUAUUUUUUUGACG